RNAcentral lists this ribosomal RNA (1518 nucleotides) under metagenome. RNAcentral describes it as "bacterial SSU rRNA". It matches the Rfam family "Bacterial small subunit ribosomal RNA". The record is from RNAcentral.
AGAGUUUGAUCCCAGCUCAGGAUGAACGCUAGCGGUGCGCCUAACACAUGUAGGUCGUGCGAUCGAGCCGAACUGAGUCCCUUCGGGGAUGAUGAUUGGUGACGGAGCGGCGGACGGGUGAGUAACGCGUGGCUAACCUACCCUCUUGACGGGGACAACCACCCGAAAGGGCGGCUAAUACCCGAUAUUGUCUGGAACCGAUGGGUUCCUUUCCAAAGGCGGUCCUGCCGCCGCAAGGGGAUGGGGCUGCGUCCUAUUAGCUAGUUGGUGAGGUAACGGCCCACCAAGGCUUCGAUGGGUAGCUGGUCUGAGAGGACGACCAGCCACAUUGGGACUGAGAUACGGCCCAGACUCCUACGGGAGGCAGCAGUGGGGAAUCUUGGCCAAUGGACGAAAGUCUGAGCCAGCGACACCGCGUGGGGGAUGAAGGCCUUCGGGUUGUAAACCUCUUUUCUGGGGAAAGAAUAAGGACGGGAGGAAAUGCCCGCCCGAUGACGGUACUCCAGGAAUAAGCAUCGGCUAACUCUGUGCCAGCAGCCGCGGUAAGACAGAGGAUGCAAGCGUUAUCCGGAAUUACUGGGCGUAAAGGGCGUCCAGGCGGUUCGGUAAGUCGUUUGUGAAAUCCCUCGGCUCAACCGAGGAAGGUCUUGCGAUACUGCCGGGCUUGGGUGCAGGAGAGGAGGGUGGAACUCACAGAGUAGCGGUGGAAUGCGUAGAUACUGUGAGUACCCCGAUGGCGAAGGCAACCCUCUGGCCUGCUACCGACGCUGAAGCGCGAAAGCGUGGGGAGCAAAGGGGAUUAGAUACCCCCGUAGUCCACGCCCUAAACAAUGUUCACUUGGUGUCGGCCGCUCAUACUGGUCGGUGCCGAAGCUAACGCGUUAAGUGAACCGCCUGAGGAGUACGGCCGCAAGGCUAAAACUCAAGAGAAUUGACGGGUCCCUGCACAAGCGGUGGAGCACGUGGUUUAAUUCGAUGAUAAACGAAAAACCUCACCCAGGCUUGACAUACUAGUGGUAGGAACCUGAAAGGGGGACGACUCUGCCUUCGGGUAGAGAGCUAGUACAGGUGAUGCAUGGCUGUCGUCAGCUCGUGUCGUGGGAUGUUGGGUUCAGUCCCGAAACGAGCGCAACCCUUGUCGUUAGUUGCCAGCGGGUAAUGCCGGGGACUCUAACGAGACUGCUGGUGAAUAGCCGGAGGAAGGCGGGGAUGACGUCAAGUCAUCAUGUCCCUUAUGCCUGGGGCGACACACAUGCUACAAUGGGGGGUACAGAGGGUCGCAAUCCCGUAAGGGGGAGCCAAUCCAUAAAAACCCCUCCCAGCUCGGAUUGAGGUCUGCAACUCGACCUCAUGAAGUCGGAAUCGCUAGUAAUCGCGGGUCAGCCAUACCGCGGUGAAUAUGUACUCAGGGAUUGUACACACCGCCCGUCACACCAACCGAGUGGGGGGUACCUGAAGUCGCUCUUCUGAGGGCGCCUAGGGUAACUUCCGCAAGAGGGGUGAAGUCGUAACAAGGUA